AUGGACUGGACCUGGAGAAUUCUCUUCCUGGUGGCAGUGACUGCAGCCUCUGGAUUCACCUUUAGUGACUACUGGAUGAGCUGGGUCCGCCAGGCUCCAGGGAAGGGCUUGGAAUGGAUUUCAGACAUUAGUGGUAGUGGUGGUACUAAAAACUAUGCCGACUCUGUGAAGGGUCGAUUCACCAUCUUCAGAGACAACAGCAAGGACACGCUCUCUCUGCAAAUGAGCCGCCUGAGAAAGGAGGGCAUGGCCCUAUACGAGAGACACAGUGAGCCUGUGCGAGAGACACAGUGA
Molecule: non-coding RNA, 294 nt
Organism: Sorex fumeus (smoky shrew)
Lineage: Eukaryota; Metazoa; Chordata; Mammalia; Eulipotyphla; Soricidae
Source: the annotation of a RefSeq genome assembly